RNAcentral lists this ribosomal RNA (254 nucleotides) under uncultured bacterium. RNAcentral describes it as "partial 16S ribosomal RNA". It matches the Rfam family "Bacterial small subunit ribosomal RNA", at positions 524 to 776 of the family's 1533-position model. The record is from RNAcentral.
UACGUAGGGAGCAAGCGUUGUUCGGAUUUACUGGGCGUAAAGGGCGCGUAGGCGGCAAUUCAAGUCACUUGUGAAAUCUCCGGGCUUAACUCGGAACGGUCAAGUGAUACUGCUUUGCUAGAGUGCGGAAGGGGCAAUCGGAAUUCUCGGUGCAGCGGUGAAAUGCGUAGAUAUCGAGAGGAACACCUGAGGUGAAGACGGGUUGCUGGGCCGACACUGACGCUGACAGCGCGAAAGCCAGGGGAGCAAACGGG